Long non-coding RNA from Epinephelus moara (kelp grouper), 1744 nucleotides. RefSeq lists it as uncharacterized. NCBI's taxonomy places the organism in Eukaryota, Metazoa, Chordata, Actinopteri, Perciformes, Serranidae. The transcript has 4 exons. The record is from RefSeq and is a predicted model, not a curated record.
GGCAGAGACACCUGGCAUGUGCCUGCUGGCACUCCUCUCAGGACCUCAGAGACAUCAGGGCGAAUUUUGGACUAAAACGCAGUCUGUGGUAAGUGAGGCUGGUUCUCCUGCAGCAGGUGCAACUUCUGAUUCUGGUCCAGACCACCUGCCUCCAGCACCAAGGCAAAGUGCUCAAUGUAGCGCAGUGAGAGGCGGUCCUGCAGGGAGGAGAUCACAUCCUGGAAGAAGAGACACGAAAAACGAUCAGAGAUUGAAAUACAUUUCCACAAGCAAAGCAAGUGUCAAGGUCAUGUGUUGCACAGUGUACCUGUCACAUGCGUUCGUGUGUCCAUCCUGGACCUUGGCCAUCCCCUGAGAGGAGGGAGCAGCAUGGGACAGGGUCGCACUGCAAAGGCCGUUCUCUGUUUCGCAAUCAUUCACCUGCACAAUAAAAAGGAGGAGACAAGGGGGGUGCAAGCACAGAGUUGCUGGAAGGACGCUCAUUCUGUCGGAUCUUCAAGGAGGCGCCAGUGAAUAGCCGUUCAUCAGGUGUGUGUCAUUUAUGAAUGUCAGUAACUCCUCAGUGCCUCUUCUCAAGUGCAGACGAGCCAAGAUUUGACCUCACCAAGGAGGCUGUAUAAAUAUCCCCAUUGUCAAUAGCCUGCACUUUCACUUCGUCCAUUAGUCACAGAGCCUGUGUUGUAUUCCGAGUCUUAUUGUACACAUCAAGAUCAAAAAUCAAAAAACUGAAAUAUAGCUCAAAAUUGUGCAGUGCCACCAACGUCAUUGUUACACAAGCAAACAUAACUGUUACUGAAUCAGAAACAGAGGAACGUGUCCUCAUCUGUCUGUUUUCACCCUGUGGCGUGUGGAUUUACAGCUUUAAAUUCUUCACUUAAUUUAGAGUUUUGACAUUCAAAAUAAGUGGUGAGGAAGAACUGAACAGAAGGGAGAGCGAUGAAGGUAGCCGGGGGACACUGAAGCUUACACGUCUGCAAAGAUAAACAGCCAUUCAGCAGAGGGGCAGACCUUUUACUGAGAGAGGACGCCGAGGAAUUCUGUCAAGAAAUGAUCCCCAAGGGCAUCGGCAGGCCUGCCCGUUGCUAUGGCUACGCUUCUCGGUAGCUUGUUGAGGCCCGGGUGGACAGAGGGAUAGUGGGUGGAUGAGAAUAGUGAUGUGGCCGCUCUCCGAUCACCCCGCAGCCACUGUGGCCAGAUGCCAACAUUUCCUCGGGCACCAGAGGUCAGGGCAUCACAUACCUGCGCUCCUCCAGUGUCCCAGCAUGCAGCAGCUCACCAGGCCUCAGGGUCCGCGAAGAAUGACCUUUCACUUAUUAUCCUCCCAGGCCUGAAUUAUAUCAGUGCUAUCCUUAGCUCAGAGGGAUGCUGCAUUUCAUACAUCAACAUCGCUGAAUAGUUUCAGUUCCAGAGACAGUGAGGGUGCUCAGAAGUGACGGACGAUGGUUGAUCUAUUGUUAAAUCGCUUGACCAACUGACUAACUAGUCUGUCAGCCAGUCAGUCAAGCAAUUACUCAAUCUUUACACACCAUUAUAGCCAGCUUCCAGUUCUUUUGGUACAGCUACGCCAAGAGCUUAGUAUCGGUACUCAAUACCUUUUAAGGUAUUGACCGAAAUGACCUAGUACCAAGUAGUAUUGAAACUUCUCCAGUCAAACAAUACCCGCACUCGAUCCUUUUUGUGCCUACACAUAGAAAAAAUGACUGUUUGAAUGGUUUGCUUGCAGCCAGUCACUGCAGGCAUUGUU